Non-coding RNA from Vicugna pacos (alpaca), 2247 nucleotides. The record is from RefSeq and is a predicted model, not a curated record. Lineage: Eukaryota; Metazoa; Chordata; Mammalia; Artiodactyla; Camelidae.
GAGACGGAAGCGGAGGGAGCUUUCUGGCACCACGACCUGCCCGCAAGCCCGGAGGCGCUGGCUUCCUGCUCAACACAGAGCAGUUAACCCGACGACGGUGCGAGCACCUGCUCUGUGGAAGGUGCCAGACCGACGGAGAGGGGAGCUGAUGCCUGCCUUCAAGGAGUAACAAAGUAAUCUGCAUCUGUAGGGCCCUUUGUGCUUAGUGUGAUCUUAAUGCUAAUUUAUUUACAUUUUCUCCCGAAAUGCUAAAUGCAACAAUGAGAGGAAGGAACCGUCCUCCUCAGUUUGCUGGUGACUGAAGAGACUCAGAGAGGGGCGGGGACCUACCCGAGGCCACACAGUGAGAGAGCCAGGGCCUGAAUAGAAGUCUUCUUUUUUCCCUUUUAAUGGAGGUAUCAGGGGUUGCACCCAGGACCUCGUGCAUGCUAAGCAUGCGCUCUGCCCCUGAGCCACACUCAGCCUUUUCACGUCAAGCACAUCAGUGGAUUCCAGGGCCCCUCAAACCCGCCGCCUUAUUUGAAUUUCACACUUGUCUUGGGAGACAGAUGGACAGCUAGCAUCCCGUUUUCAGUUCUGAGGAGUUGGGCCGACUUACUGAGUCUCCUGGGCAGCAGAUGUUGCCGCAGGCCUCAGGCAGCUCCUUGGCACAGACCCUUCUUAGUUGUGUUCCCAUGAUGGACCUCAUGCUUUUGACCACGUUACUUGCCUGCCAAGAAUGCCUAGUUCUUCCGCACUAACCCAAACGCUCCCUGCCCGCCUCUCGGCCCCACCUCCUUGCCAAAGCCCCGGCAGCUCCAGCCCCCACGGGUCCUGUGCUGCUUCUGGGUCUGAGUGUCACGAGCUUCUGGUCAGUGUGGACUGUGAGCCGGCAAGCGUCUGAGCACCAGGGCAUGCUACUCCUACUGUGUACCCCUGGGCACACAGCCGGUGCUCAGCAAAUAUAUAAUGCCAGCAAGAACAAAUUAAGCAAGAUAAACCGUCGACCCGCGGCUGAAGAAAUUUAAAUUGGACCCAAGAGAGCAUUUUCCCUUAGCAGGCUGUCCAGCAUCACAAGUGGUCACACUCCCUGUCUAGACUGUCUUGGGCAGGUGAACCUCAAGACAGGAGGAUGGACCUCAAAAGAUUUCCAAGGCCCCUUCAGCCCUUGGAAACCAUUAAAGGGAAACUCAAGAACACGUCACCCUUCCCCCAUGGUUGUGAUUUGUCCACUUUUAUCUCUCAGGGGUAUUUGAAAUCCCAGAUUGUCACCCUCAGCUACCCAGCAUGCCUCUUGGCACCUUCCCUGCCAGCAUUGUGGGCCUGGGAAUGAGACACACAGUGUCAGCUUGAGCCAAAUGUAAUUAGGAACAUCAAUCUGCUGCCCACAACCCACGUGACACGCUCCCGAGCAGAAAGAAAAUGUUUCUGAUUCCUCACGUGCUGCUGGCUGGCCCGUCUGUCACGUCUCCCCAGUCAGAACAGAGGUCUGGAAGAGCAAGGGCCCUCUCAAAAAACUUGGCUUCCCUUCUUCAAGUGAGGGGCUGGGCCUCGAGGAAACAUGCAGAAAUGUGUGCGUUUUCUGUGGUUGACUGUCUGUGCCACAGGACCUCCCGGCUCCUGUCCCUGGUGACGUGGCCCAUCUGUUUGGAUUCUCCCCAAAGCAGAGUCUGAGAAAGGAGCUGGAUGCAGGUGGUCUGACUGGAAGGUGAUCCCAGAAGGUCACUGCUGGAGCCGAGGGGCUGCUUCCUCGGGGCCGUCUGGGAUGUGUCCGGGGACUGUCUGCCAGGAGUCAGUCAGCGGCGUUCGUCCUUGGGCUCCUCUUCCCCACUGUCUGGGGCUGCACCUUAGGGCGUGGUUCAGCUUGGAGAACGCCCUGGGCACCCUCACCCCCCCAGCUCUACUUGAGGUGGGUGCUACUAGCUCAAGUCUGAGCUCCCUCGGACCCCCACUGAGCCGCGGAAACCAGAGGGAGGAGAAGCGAACGUGUUACAAACUGUGGAGCAAAUGAGUUUGCAGUAGGAGUUCUCGUCUCUUCCAGACUCAUUUAGGUCUCAGUGCUGUGGCCCAUGCUCUGUCCUCAGGCUUAAUGCCUUUGUACACUUUCUCUGCCUGGCAAACUCCCACUUAUCCUUCAAAUCCCAGUUCAAAUGACACUGCCUCUAUGUAGCUUUCCUGACACUACCUCCACAGUUGCCUGGUUCACACCGUUUUAUAAUGAUCAUAAUUAAAUGUAUUUGUCCUGUCUCUUUUGAUGGGCUGUGACCA